RNAcentral lists this ribosomal RNA (460 nucleotides) under uncultured bacterium. RNAcentral's name for it is "partial 16S ribosomal RNA". It matches the Rfam family "Bacterial small subunit ribosomal RNA", at positions 338 to 795 of the family's 1533-position model. The record is from RNAcentral.
CCUACGGGCGGCAGCAGUGAGGAAUAUUGGUCAAUGGACGAGAGUCUGAACCAGCCAAGUAGCGUGAAGGAUGACUGCCCUAUGGGUUGUAAACUUCUUUUAUAAAGGAAUAAAACGAGGCACGUGUGCCUUUUUGCAUGUACUUUAUGAAUAAGGAUCGGCUAACUCCGUGCCAGCAGCCGCGGUAAUACGGAGGAUCCGAGCGUUAUCCGGAUUUAUUGGGUUUAAAGGGAGCGUAGAUGGGUUGUUAAGUCAGUUGUGAAAGUUUGCGGCUCAAACGUAAAAUUGCAAGUGAUACUGGCAGUCUUGAGUACAGUUGAGGUAGGCGGAAUUCGUGGUGUAGCGGUGAAAGGCUUAGAUAUCACGAAGAACCCCGAUUGCGAAGGCAGCUUACUAAACUGUGACUGACAUUGAUGCUCGAAAGUGUGGGUAUCAAACAGGAUUAGAUACCCGUGUAGUC